This 504-nucleotide ribosomal RNA is filed under the name uncultured Desulfobulbus sp. RNAcentral's name for it is "bacterial SSU rRNA". It matches the Rfam family "Bacterial small subunit ribosomal RNA", at positions 905 to 1382 of the family's 1533-position model. Lineage: Bacteria; Pseudomonadati; Thermodesulfobacteriota; Desulfobulbia; Desulfobulbales; Desulfobulbaceae. The record is from RNAcentral.
CCUUGCCAGCCCGCUCAGAACUCAAGAAUUGACGGGGCCGCACAAGCGGUGGAGUAUGUGGUUUAAUUCGAUGCAACGCGAAGAACCUUACCUGGUCUUGACAUCCCGGAGACCCUUAGGAAACUAGGGGGUGCUUCCAUCUGGAAGAAUCUGGAGACAGGUGCUGCAUGGCUGUCGUCAGCUCGUGUCGUGAGAUGUUGGGUUAAGUCCCGCAACGAGCGCAACCCUUGCCUUUAGUUGCCAGCAGUUCGGCUGGGCACUCUAAAGGGACUGCCGGUGUUAAACCGGAGGAAGGUGGGGAUGACGUCAAGUCCUCAUGGCCUUUAUGACCAGGGCUACACACGUACUACAAUGGCCGAUACAAAGGGCAGCGACACUGCGAGGUGAAGCCAAUCCCGUAAAAUCGGUCUCAGUCCGGAUUGGAGUCUGCAACUCGACUCCAUGAAGUUGGAAUCGCUAGUAAUCGUGGAUCAGCAUGCCACGGUGAAUACGUUCCCGGGCCUU